CAAUAGCCGCGGUAAUACAGAGGGUGCGAGCGUUAAUCGGAUUUACUGGGCGUAAAGCGUGCGUAGGCGGCUUCUUAAGUCGGAUGUGAAAUCCCUGAGCUUAACUUAGGAAUUGCAUUCGAUACUGGGAAGCUAGAGUAUGGGAGAGGAUGGUAGAAUUCCAGGUGUAGCGGUGAAAUGCGUAGAGAUCUGGAGGAAUACCGAUGGAGAAGGCAGCCAUCUGGCCUAAUACUGACGCUGAGGUACGAAAGCAUGGGGAGCAAACAGGAUUAGAUACCCCUGUAGUCCCUGUCUCUUAUAC
This 301-nucleotide ribosomal RNA is filed under the name uncultured bacterium. Its description in RNAcentral is "partial 16S ribosomal RNA". It matches the Rfam family "Bacterial small subunit ribosomal RNA", at positions 509 to 807 of the family's 1533-position model. The record is from RNAcentral.